Misgurnus anguillicaudatus (oriental weatherfish) is the source of this 375-nucleotide non-coding RNA. The record is from RefSeq and is a predicted model, not a curated record. Lineage: Eukaryota; Metazoa; Chordata; Actinopteri; Cypriniformes; Cobitidae.
AUCGCCGUGAAUCACAUGAGAGUUGCAAAUGCGAUGUUGUGUAUUAGGCUGUACAUCCUAUUAACGUAAAGAGAGUGAUAAUAUAUAUCCUUUCAUCUAUUCCCGAGUGACUCAAAGGGAUAUUGGACCUUAUUUUCAGAUUACAGACAACACGAGAGGGUGCUCCAAACUUUUUAAUCAGGACUGCAUUGUUUGUUCGCUCCCGGGGUUACAUAGACUGAAACGGGGAAGCGUGACGAGUUUGUUUACAUGGUGCUGUAAACUCCAACUACAGGAGGACACUUCAGAGGAAUCAAGGUGUCUGUGAUGUUGAAACACUAAAGGAAGAAGAGGAGGACCACCAUUCGUUUCCUGAUCAGAACACAAGAGAAGAAU